CUGAUAGUAGACUUAUGCAGAGAUGCAUUGGUGCCUUCGGGAACUCUGAGACAGGUGCUGCAUGGCUGUCGUCAGCUCGUGUUGUGAAAUGUUGGGUUAAGUCCCGCAACGAGCGCAACCCUUAUCCUUGUUUGCCAGCACUUCGGGUGGGAACUCCAGGGAGACUGGCGGUGAUAAACCGGAAGAAGGGGGGGACGACGUCAAGUCAUCAUGGCCCUUACGAGUAGGGCUACACACGUGCUACAAUGGCGCAUACAGAGGGCGGCCAACUUGCGAGAGUGAGCGAAUCCCAAAAAGUGCGUCCUAAUCCGGAUUGGAGUCUGCAACUCCACUCCAUGAAGUCCGAAUCCCUAGUAAUCCUAAAUCAAAAUGCUACGGUGAAUACCUUCCCGGGUCUUGAACACCCCGAA
Molecule: ribosomal RNA, 410 nt
Filed under: bacterium 1-6(2015)
Lineage: Bacteria
Description: bacterial SSU rRNA
Rfam family: Bacterial small subunit ribosomal RNA
Source: RNAcentral